RNAcentral lists this ribosomal RNA (442 nucleotides) under Alcadia sp. 'dysonia'. RNAcentral describes it as "partial 16S ribosomal RNA". It matches the Rfam family "Bacterial large subunit ribosomal RNA", at positions 1829 to 2529 of the family's 2925-position model. Lineage: Eukaryota; Metazoa; Mollusca; Gastropoda; Cycloneritida; Helicinidae. The record is from RNAcentral.
UUCUCUUAGAAAAUAUUUUGAGUAAUACCUGCCCGGUGAUAAUUUUUAACGGCUGCGGUACCCUGACUGUACGAAGGUAGCAUAAUCUAUUGCCUUUUAAUUGGUGGCUAGUAUGAAUGGUAAAAUGUGAAUGUUUUUGUCUCUUUUAUAAUUAGUAGAAUUUAAUUUAUAAGUGAAAAGGUUUAUAUAUUUUAAAAAGGCGAUGAGACCCUAUUGAGCUUUAUGUAAAGAUUAGGAUUUUUUUGGUUUUUUUAAGAACUUUUUAUUUUGUUUGAAUAUUUGGCUGGGGCGGCAAAGGAAUAAUUAUAAUCUUCCUUAUGUUAUUUGGUUUUGUUGAAUAUAUAUUGAUCCAUUGGUUAUGAUAAUUAGAUAUAGUUACCAUAGGGAUAACAGCGUAAUUUUUUUGGAGAGUUCUUAUCGAUAGAAAAGUUUGCGACCUCGA